This 2004-nucleotide ribosomal RNA is filed under the name Escherichia coli. Its description in RNAcentral is "partial 23S ribosomal RNA". It matches the Rfam family "Bacterial large subunit ribosomal RNA", at positions 188 to 2215 of the family's 2925-position model. Lineage: Bacteria; Pseudomonadati; Pseudomonadota; Gammaproteobacteria; Enterobacterales; Enterobacteriaceae. The record is from RNAcentral.
GGGAACUGAAACAUCUAAGUACCCCGAGGAAAAGAAAUCAACCGAGAUUCCCCCAGUAGCGGCGAGCGAACGGGGAGCAGCCCAGAGCCUGAAUCAGUGUGUGUGUUAGUGGAAGCGUCUGGAAAGGCGCGCGAUACAGGGUGACAGCCCCGUACACAAAAAUGCACAUACUGUGAGCUCGAUGAGUAGGGCGGGACACGUGGUAUCCUGUCUGAAUAUGGGGGGACCAUCCUCCAAGGCUAAAUACUCCUGACUGACCGAUAGUGAACCAGUACCGUGAGGGAAAGGCGAAAAGAACCCCGGCGAGGGGAGUGAAAAAGAACCUGAAACCGUGUACGUACAAGCAGUGGGAGCACGCUUCGGCGUGUGACUGCGUACCUUUUGUAUAAUGGGUCAGCGACUUAUAUUCUGUAGCAAGGUUAACCGAAUAGGGGAGCCGAAGGGAAACCGAGUCUUAACUGGGCGUUAAGUUGCAGGGUAUAGACCCGAAACCCGGUGAUCUAGCCAUGGGCAGGUUGAAGGUUGGGUAACACUAACUGGAGGACCGAACCGACUAAUGUUGAAAAAUUAGCGGAUGACUUGUGGCUGGGGGUGAAAGGCCAAUCAAACCGGGAGAUAGCUGGUUCUCCCCGAAAGCUAUUUAGGUAGCGCCUCGUGAAUUCAUCUCCGGGGGUAGAGCACUGUUUCGGCAAGGGGGUCAUCCCGACUUACCAACCCGAUGCAAACUGCGAAUACCGGAGAAUGUUAUCACGGGAGACACACGGCGGGUGCUAACGUCCGUCGUGAAGAGGGAAACAACCCAGACCGCCAGCUAAGGUCCCAAAGUCAUGGUUAAGUGGGAAACGAUGUGGGAAGGCCCAGACAGCCAGGAUGUUGGCUUAGAAGCAGCCAUCAUUUAAAGAAAGCGUAAUAGCUCACUGGUCGAGUCGGCCUGCGCGGAAGAUGUAACGGGGCUAAACCAUGCACCGAAGCUGCGGCAGCGACACUAUGUGUUGUUGGGUAGGGGAGCGUUCUGUAAGCCUGUGAAGGUGUGCUGUGAGGCAUGCUGGAGGUAUCAGAAGUGCGAAUGCUGACAUAAGUAACGAUAAAGCGGGUGAAAAGCCCGCUCGCCGGAAGACCAAGGGUUCCUGUCCAACGUUAAUCGGGGCAGGGUGAGUCGACCCCUAAGGCGAGGCCGAAAGGCGUAGUCGAUGGGAAACAGGUUAAUAUUCCUGUACUUGGUGUUACUGCGAAGGGGGGACGGAGAAGGCUAUGUUGGCCGGGCGACGGUUGUCCCGGUUUAAGCGUGUAGGCUGGUUUUCCAGGCAAAUCCGGAAAAUCAAGGCUGAGGCGUGAUGACGAGGCACUACGGUGCUGAAGCAACAAAUGCCCUGCUUCCAGGAAAAGCCUCUAAGCAUCAGGUAACAUUAAAUCGUACCCCAAACCGACACAGGUGGUCAGGUAGAGAAUACCAAGGCGCUUGAGAGAACUCGGGUGAAGGAACUAGGCAAAAUGGUGCCGUAACUUCGGGAGAAGGCACGCUGAUAUGUAGGUGAAGUCCCUCGCGGAUGGAGCUGAAAUCAGUCGAAGAUACCAGCUGGCUGCAACUGUUUAUUAAAAACACAGCACUGUGCAAACACGAAAGUGGACGUAUACGGUGUGACGCCUGCCCGGUGCCGGAAGGUUAAUUGAUGGGGUUAGCGGUAACGCGAAGCUCUUGAUCGAAGCCCCGGUAAACGGCGGCCGUAACUAUAACGGUCCUAAGGUAGCGAAAUUCCUUGUCGGGUAAGUUCCGACCUGCACGAAUGGCGUAAUGAUGGCCAGGCUGUCUCCACCCGAGACUCAGUGAAAUUGAACUCGCUGUGAAGAUGCAGUGUACCCGCGGCAAGACGGAAAGACCCCGUGAACCUUUACUAUAGCUUGACACUGAACAUUGAGCCUUGAUGUGUAGGAUAGGUGGGAGGCUUUGAAGUGUGGACGCCAGUCUGCAUGGAGCCGACCUUGAAAUACCACCCUUUAAUGUUU